RNAcentral lists this ribosomal RNA (1447 nucleotides) under Acinetobacter sp. DQ124. RNAcentral describes it as "bacterial SSU rRNA". It matches the Rfam family "Bacterial small subunit ribosomal RNA". Lineage: Bacteria; Pseudomonadati; Pseudomonadota; Gammaproteobacteria; Moraxellales; Moraxellaceae. The record is from RNAcentral.
CCCCGAUUAGCUACUUGUAAAUCGUGCCUGCGCUAGCGCAGAGAGGUAGCUUGCUACUGAUCUUAGCGGCGGACGGGUGAGUAAUGCUUAGGAAUCUGCCUAUUAGUGGGGGACAACAUUUCGAAAGGAAUGCUAAUACCGCAUACGUCCUACGGGAGAAAGCAGGGGAUCUUCGGACCUUGCGCUAAUAGAUGAGCCUAAGUCGGAUUAGCUAGUUGGUGGGGUAAAGGCCUACCAAGGCGACGAUCUGUAGCGGGUCUGAGAGGAUGAUCCGCCACACUGGGACUGAGACACGGCCCAGACUCCUACGGGAGGCAGCAGUGGGGAAUAUUGGACAAUGGGCGCAAGCCUGAUCCAGCCAUGCCGCGUGUGUGAAGAAGGCCUUAUGGUUGUAAAGCACUUUAAGCGAGGAGGAGGCUACUUUAGUUAAUACCUAGAGAUAGUGGACGUUACUCGCAGAAUAAGCACCGGCUAACUCUGUGCCAGCAGCCGCGGUAAUACAGAGGGUGCAAGCGUUAAUCGGAUUUACUGGGCGUAAAGCGCGCGUAGGCGGCUAAUUAAGUCAAAUGUGAAAUCCCCGAGCUUAACUUGGGAAUUGCAUUCGAUACUGGUUAGCUAGAGUGUGGGAGAGGAUGGUAGAAUUCCAGGUGUAGCGGUGAAAUGCGUAGAGAUCUGGAGGAAUACCGAUGGCGAAGGCAGCCAUCUGGCCUAACACUGACGCUGAGGUGCGAAAGCAUGGGGAGCAAACAGGAUUAGAUACCCUGGUAGUCCAUGCCGUAAACGAUGUCUACUAGCCGUUGGGGCCUUUGAGGCUUUAGUGGCGCAGCUAACGCGAUAAGUAGACCGCCUGGGGAGUACGGUCGCAAGACUAAAACUCAAAUGAAUUGACGGGGGCCCGCACAAGCGGUGGAGCAUGUGGUUUAAUUCGAUGCAACGCGAAGAACCUUACCUGGCCUUGACAUAGUAAGAACUUUCCAGAGAUGGAUUGGUGCCUUCGGGAACUUACAUACAGGUGCUGCAUGGCUGUCGUCAGCUCGUGUCGUGAGAUGUUGGGUUAAGUCCCGCAACGAGCGCAACCCUUUUCCUUAUUUGCCAGCGAGUAAUGUCGGGAACUUUAAGGAUACUGCCAGUGACAAACUGGAGGAAGGCGGGGACGACGUCAAGUCAUCAUGGCCCUUACGGCCAGGGCUACACACGUGCUACAAUGGUCGGUACAAAGGGUUGCUACCUAGCGAUAGGAUGCUAAUCUCAAAAAGCCGAUCGUAGUCCGGAUUGGAGUCUGCAACUCGACUCCAUGAAGUCGGAAUCGCUAGUAAUCGCGGAUCAGAAUGCCGCGGUGAAUACGUUCCCGGGCCUUGUACACACCGCCCGUCACACCAUGGGAGUUUGUUGCACCAGAAGUAGCUAGCCUCUCUGUAAGUAGGUACGAAGCAAGGAGAGUGGCCCC